Molecule: long non-coding RNA, 666 nt
Filed under: Setaria viridis
Lineage: Eukaryota; Viridiplantae; Streptophyta; Magnoliopsida; Poales; Poaceae
Description: long non-coding RNA (SVIR_LNC006337)
Source: RNAcentral
GUUAGAAUUAGUGACAGGGAUGUUCCAACCAUGGUUCAGUACAGCCUGGAAGUUUUCAUGUUCUAGCCAGUAAUUUUCGAAUCUAAAUAACUGUGGUCUUGGAAUACUUGUGGUGGCAGAUAUGAGACAUGAGGUGUGAUCAGUUAUAUCCCUAGAGAGAGUAGAGACCACAAUAUUAGGUAUGAUGGUAGUCCAAGCAUUUGAGGUGAAGAACCAAUCUAACAUUUCUAGGAGGGGAGUUGACUACUUGUUUGUCCAAGUAUAUUUGCAUCCUUUUAGAGGUAGUUCCACUUAGCAGCUUCAUUGAAAGCAAACAUUUCCUGUAAAUUCCCUCCCGGAUUGUUUCUAUUUUCAGGUGAUCUGAUCAGGUUGAAAUCCCCAACAAUUAACCAUUUUAUAUCUUCCGCCAUUUCUAUCUCUUUAAACCAAUUCAGGAAUUCUACUUUUCCUUCAGGGGUGCAAGGUGCAUAUAUGUUGGUUAGGAUCCAGAUUUCACUUGAGAGCUUGCACUAAAAUUCAACAGAUUGUGCAAAAGCAUUCUGGAAGAUUAUAUUGCCACAGAACUUUGAACCCUUCCAUACAAUGAGGCUUCCACCAGAGGCACCAGCGGAGGGCAGGAAUUCAGAAUUAUCUAGUUGAGGAGGACAAAAAUGUUUAAGGUAUUGC